RNAcentral lists this ribosomal RNA (66 nucleotides) under Betiscoides parva. RNAcentral describes it as "partial 16S ribosomal RNA". Lineage: Eukaryota; Metazoa; Arthropoda; Insecta; Orthoptera; Lentulidae. The record is from RNAcentral.
AGUACGAAAGGACCAUAUGAUUGAAAUAAUUUUNNUUAAUUAUGAUUAAUAUUAAUUUAAUUUANU